CCUACGGGUGGCAGCAGUGGGGGAUAUUGCACAAUGGGGGGAACCCUGAUGCAGCGACGCCGCGUGGGUGAAGGAGUAUUUCGGUAUGUAAAGCCCUAUCGGCAGGGAAGAAUUUAGACGGUACCUGACUAAGAAGCCCCGGCUAACUACGUGCCAGCAGCCGCGGUAAUACGUAGGGGGCAAGCGUUAUCCGGAUUCACUGGGUGUAAAGGGAGCGUAGACGGCCAGGCAAGCCUGGAGUGAAAGCCCGGGGCCCAACCCCGGGACUGCAUUGGAAACUGUUGAACUGGAGUACAGGAGAGGUAAGCGGAAUUCCUAGUGUAGCGGUGAAAUGCGUAGAUAUUAGGAGGAACACCAGUGGCGAAGGCGGCUUACUGGACUGUAACUGACGUUGAGGCUCGAAAGCGUGGGGAGCAAACAGGAUUAGAUACCCGAGUAGUC
RNAcentral lists this ribosomal RNA (441 nucleotides) under uncultured bacterium. RNAcentral describes it as "partial 16S ribosomal RNA". It matches the Rfam family "Bacterial small subunit ribosomal RNA", at positions 338 to 795 of the family's 1533-position model. The record is from RNAcentral.